Molecule: ribosomal RNA, 422 nt
Filed under: Salmonella enterica
Lineage: Bacteria; Pseudomonadati; Pseudomonadota; Gammaproteobacteria; Enterobacterales; Enterobacteriaceae
Also listed under: 1 other name
Description: partial 23S ribosomal RNA
Rfam family: Bacterial large subunit ribosomal RNA
Source: RNAcentral
CCGAACCGACUAAUGUUGAAAAAUUAGCGGAUGACCUGUGGCUGGGGGUGAAAGGCCAAUCAAACCGGGAGAUAGCUGGUUCUCCCCGAAAGCUAUUUAGGUAGCGCCUCGUGAAUUCAUCUCCGGGGGUAGAGCACUGUUUCGGCUAGGGGGCCAUCCCGGCUUACCAACCCGAUGCAAACUGCGAAUACCGGAGAAUGUUAUCACGGGAGACACACGGCGGGUGCUAACGUCCGUCGUGAAGAGGGAAACAACCCAGACCGCCAGCUAAGGUCCCAAAGUCAUGGUUAAGUGGGAAACGAUGUGGGAAGGCCCAGACAGCCAGGAUGUUGGCUUAGAAGCAGCCAUCAUUUAAAGAAAGCGUAAUAGCUCACUGGUCGAGUCGGCCUGCGCGGAAGAUGUAACGGGGCUAAACCAUGCAC